GUUCACCACCUCACCAUCGCCAGUUCCCAUUGUCUCCAAAAUGUGCGUACACAUGGGUCAGAGUUUAUGUGGAGGACUGCACCAUGUGUCAGAUUUAGAG
Long non-coding RNA from Etheostoma spectabile (orangethroat darter), 100 nucleotides. RefSeq lists it as uncharacterized. The transcript has 3 exons. The record is from RefSeq and is a predicted model, not a curated record. Lineage: Eukaryota; Metazoa; Chordata; Actinopteri; Perciformes; Percidae.